RNAcentral lists this ribosomal RNA (301 nucleotides) under uncultured bacterium. Its description in RNAcentral is "partial 16S ribosomal RNA". It matches the Rfam family "Bacterial small subunit ribosomal RNA", at positions 509 to 809 of the family's 1533-position model. The record is from RNAcentral.
CAGUCGCCGCGGUAAUACGGAGGGUGCAAGCGUUAAUCGGAAUUACUGGGCGUAAAGCGCACGCAGGCGGUCUGACAAGUCAGAUGUGAAAUCCCCGGGCUUAACCUGGGAACUGCAUUUGAAACUGUCAGGCUGGAGUCUUGUAGAGGGGGGUGGAAUUCCAGGUGUAGCGGUGAAAUGCGUAGAGAUCUGGAGGUAUACCGGUGGCGAAGGCGGCCCCCUGGACAAAGACUGACGCUCAGGUGCGAAAGCGUGGGGAGCAAACAGGAUUAGAUACCCCGGUAGUCCCUGUCUCUUAUAA